GGUCACACCCGUUCCCAUACCGAACACGGAAGUUAAGCUCUUCAGCGCCGAUGGUAGUUGGGGGCUGUCCCCCUGUGAGAGUAGGACGUUGCCA
Molecule: ribosomal RNA, 94 nt
Filed under: Sutcliffiella rhizosphaerae
Lineage: Bacteria; Bacillati; Bacillota; Bacilli; Caryophanales; Bacillaceae
Source: RNAcentral